Molecule: ribosomal RNA, 491 nt
Filed under: uncultured bacterium
Lineage: Bacteria
Description: bacterial SSU rRNA
Rfam family: Bacterial small subunit ribosomal RNA
Source: RNAcentral
CUGGCUCAGGAUGAACGCUGGCGGCGUGCUUAACACAUGCAAGUCGAACGAAGCAACUAUCUUGCUUGCAAGAGAGUUGACUUAGUGGCGGACGGGUGAGUAACGCGUGGGUAACCUGCCUCAUACAGGGGGAUAACAGUUGGAAACGACUGCUAAGACCGCAUAACCCGCUAGUGUCGCAUGACACGGACGGAAAAUAUUUAUAGGUAUGAGAUGGGCCCGCGUCUGAUUAGCUAGUUGGUAAGGUAACGGCUUACCAAGGCGACGAUCAGUAGCCGACUUGAGAGAGUGAUCGGCCACAUUGGGACUGAGACACGGCCCAAACUCCUACGGGAGGCAGCAGUGGGGAAUAUUGGACAAUGGGGGAAACCCUGAUCCAGCGAACCGCCGCGUGAGUGAAGAAGUAUUUCGGUAUGUAAAGCUCUAUCAGCAGGGAAGAUAAUGACAGUACCUGACUAAGAAGCCCCGGCUAACUACGUGCCAGCAGCCGC